Molecule: ribosomal RNA, 801 nt
Filed under: uncultured bacterium
Lineage: Bacteria
Description: bacterial SSU rRNA
Rfam family: Bacterial small subunit ribosomal RNA
Source: RNAcentral
UCGAGCGAUUCUCUUCGGAGAAGAGCGGCGGACGGGUGAGUAACGCGUGGGUAACCUGCCCUGUACACACGGAUAACAUACCGAAAGGUAUGCUAAUACGGGAUAAUAUGCUUUAGUCGCAUGGCUGAAGUAUCAAAGCUCCGGCGGUACAGGAUGGACCCGCGUCUGAUUAGCUAGUUGGUGAGGUAAUGGCUCACCAAGGCGACGAUCAGUAGCCGACCCGAGAGGGUGAUCGGCCACAUUGGAACUGAGACACGGUCCAAACUCCUACGGGAGGCAGCAGUGGGGAAUAUUGCACAAUGGGCGAAAGCCUGAUGCAGCAACGCCGCGUGAGCGAUGAAGGCCUUCGGGUCGUAAAGCUCUGUCCUCAAGGAAGAUAAUGACGGUACUUGAGGAGGAAGCCCCGGCUAACUACGUGCCAGCAGCCGCGGUAAUACGUAGGGGGCUAGCGUUAUCCGGAAUUACUGGGCGUAAAGGGUGCGUAGGUGGUUUCUUAAGUCAGAGGUGAAAGGCUACGGCUCAACCGUAGUAAGCCUUUGAAACUGAGAAACUUGAGUGCAGGAGAGGAGAGUAGAAUUCCUAGUGUAGCGGUGAAAUGCGUAGAUAUUAGGAGGAAUACCAGUUGCGAAGGCGGCUCUCUGGACUGUAACUGACACUGAGGCACGAAAGCGUGGGGAGCAAACAGGAUUAGAUACCCUGGUAGUCCACGCCGUAAACGAUGAGUACUAGCUGUCGGAGGUUACCCCCUUCGGUGGCGCAGCUAACGCAUUAAGUACUCCGCCUGGGAAGUACGCUCGCAAG